RNAcentral lists this ribosomal RNA (253 nucleotides) under uncultured bacterium. RNAcentral's name for it is "partial 16S ribosomal RNA". It matches the Rfam family "Bacterial small subunit ribosomal RNA", at positions 524 to 776 of the family's 1533-position model. The record is from RNAcentral.
UACGUAGGUGGCAAGCGUUGUCCGGAUUUACUGGGCGUAAAGCAUGCGUAGGCGGAUAUGUAAGUCAGGUGUGAAAUACCCGGGCUUAACUUGGGUGCUGCAUUUGAAACUGCAUAUCUAGAGUGCGGGAGAGGUAAGUGGAAUUCCUAGUGUAGCGGUGAAAUGCGUAGAGAUUAGGAAGAACACCAGUGGCGAAGGCGACUUACUGGACCGUAACUGACGCUGAGGCAUGAAAGCGUGGGGAGCAAACGGG